Molecule: ribosomal RNA, 373 nt
Filed under: Graphium penicillioides
Lineage: Eukaryota; Fungi; Ascomycota; Sordariomycetes; Microascales; Graphiaceae
Description: LSU rRNA
Rfam family: Eukaryotic large subunit ribosomal RNA
Source: RNAcentral
GUCGAGUUGUUUGGGAAUGCUGCUCUAAACGGGAGGUAAAUCUCUUCUAAAGCUAAAUAUAGGCCACAGACCGAUAGCGCACAAGUAGAGUGAUCGAAAGAUGAAAAGCACUUUGAAAAGAGAGUUAAACAGCACGUGAAAUUGUUGAAAGGGAAGCGCUCAUGACCAGACUUGCGCCCGGCGGAUCAUCCGGCGUUCUCGCCGGUGCACUCCGCCGGGCUCAGGCCAGCAUCGGUUCGCUGUCGGGGAGAAAGGUAGGGGGAAUGUGGCUCCUCGGAGUGUUAUAGCCCCCUGCGUAAUACCCUUCGGCGGACCGAGGUCCGCGCGUCUGCAAGGAUGCUGGCGUAAUGGUCAUCAGCGACCCGUCUUGAAA